Molecule: long non-coding RNA, 247 nt
Filed under: Lathyrus oleraceus (garden pea)
Lineage: Eukaryota; Viridiplantae; Streptophyta; Magnoliopsida; Fabales; Fabaceae
Description: Pisum sativum (pea) long non-coding RNA (PSAT_LNC013753)
Source: RNAcentral
UUCUCUAUUAUGAUUUUUUGAAAAAGAUGUUUUAUGUUAAGAAAAUAUAUGACACCCUAUCGCUGAGUUAAAAUUAUUCUGCAUGUUUUUAUAAAAUAAGUAUUUUGGAGUUUUGGGUGUGACAAAAACUGUAUACUCUUGAAUGUAAAAGACGGGCUCAAGAUUUCUAUAAUGGUGAAAAUGGAACAAGAAGUGAUAAAAUAGAGUUCUAUGAACUCCUAUUCCAGAGCUAGGCUACUAAACCAGA